CUGCAGCCCGAGUGGUGAUCGAUUUUAUUGAGCCUAAAGCGUCCGUAGCCGGACUAGUAAACCCUUGGGUAAAUUGGGCAGCUUAACUGUCCAAAUUCCGAGGGGACUGCUAGUCUUGGGACCGGGAGAGGUCAGAGGUACUCAAGGGGUAGGGGCUAAAUCCUGUAAUCCUUUGGGGACCACCAGUGGCGAAGGCGUCUGACUAGAACGGAUCCGACGGUAAGGGACGAAACCCUGGAGCGCGAACCGGAUUAGAUACCCGAGUAGUCC
RNAcentral lists this ribosomal RNA (270 nucleotides) under uncultured archaeon. RNAcentral describes it as "partial 16S ribosomal RNA". It matches the Rfam family "Archaeal small subunit ribosomal RNA", at positions 477 to 747 of the family's 1478-position model. The record is from RNAcentral.